CUAGGCUUCUGAGUGGGACAAAUGGAUGGAUGGUGGUAUCAUUCAUCAAGACAAGAAAAGCUAGAAGGUGGGGGUAAAGGCAACAUGAUGAGUUUAUUUUAGGAAGUAUUGAAGUUAGAUGGUAAGGUAUAGGUUGACCAUAUGGGUCUGGCCCUCAAAGACAAGGUCUGGGCUGGAGAAAAUAUUUGUGAAUGAGUUGUUUAAAGUUUUGACACUGAUGUGAUCUAUUCCUCUUGAGCAUCUUUCCAGAACAACACGUCUGUAAGUAGGGAUAAAUCAAAUGGUUUUGGACACCAGGCUAAGUGAAUUGUUGAACAACUUAUUUCAUAUGACAGGGAUUUGAAGGACUGUUGGGAGGUAGGUCUAGUGUGGAUGAAUUAGGAGAUGUAUGGUUUCAAGUAUAUCAAAAGCUACCCCCGAGCCCAAAUACCCAUCAUUUUCCCCUUGACCUGUCAGAGGGCCUAAUAUCGCUAGCGAUCAUGUUACUCUUUAAGGAAUUCUCAUCUUAUUUGGCUUAGAGUGAUAAAACUUUAGUAAAAGUUGUCUACACCAAACUUCUCACUCAGAAUGAGGCUGCUUUACAAAAUCUCUGGACGUAGGGCCUCAGCUUGAACAUGUAUGUCUGUGGUAGGGAAUCCAGUAUUUGGCAAGACAGUGCAGAUUUUUAGUUCUGUUCCAAAAAUUCUUCCCUGUAUUGAUCUUCUCAUCUGGCACGACACAGAACAGUUCUCCUUCUUUUCCACAGAGCAGACCAUCAACUGGUGUUAGCCCAUCAGUCAUCACUAUUCUCAGCUCAGCUGCCAGGAGAUGAAUGAAUUAGAUUCAACUGUCACUGAAGCCCUUCGAUAGACAUCACCUCACUCAGAGGUCACAGCAACCCUUCGAGUGAAUCAUCUUCAUGGAUCAUCUCUGUCUGCUCCCCCUGGAGGGACCACUGAAAUGGAGUCGGGGGACAGGACAGGAGAAGAGCCCAGUGUGACAGGCCAUGGCUAGUUGGAGUACACCACCUGGGGAAUGUCUGGAAACAUUUCAGAUGUGCUGACGCAUCUUGCUGCCACAGAAAAAGAAAUCUGUUUCCACAAAGAGAAGCAAGAGCUGGAGACACUGGAAGUUUAUGGACUGGAGAAGGCGGCUCCGAGAAGAAGAGCAUUCUGGCGCUCAGCGAC
This is a long non-coding RNA of Globicephala melas (long-finned pilot whale), 1166 nucleotides long. RefSeq lists it as uncharacterized. NCBI's taxonomy places the organism in Eukaryota, Metazoa, Chordata, Mammalia, Artiodactyla, Delphinidae. The record is from RefSeq and is a predicted model, not a curated record.